CCAAUAGCGUAUAUUAAAGUUGUUGCAGUUAAAAGCUCGUAGUUGAAUUUUAGGCCUGGCCGGGCGGUCCGUCUUUGGCGAGUACUGUCCUGUUGUCGGGUCUUCCUUCUAGUGAACCAGUAUGCCCUUCAUUGGGUGUGCCGGGGUGCCAGGACCAUUACCUUGAAAAAUUAGAGUGUUUAAAGCGGGCUAUUGCUUGAAUAGAUUAGCAUGGAAUAAUAGAAUAGGACGUUGUGGUUCUAUUUUGUUGGUUUCUAGGACCACCGUAAUGAUUAAUAGGGAUAGUUGGGGGCAUUAGUAUUCAAUUGUCAGAGGUGAAAUUCUUGGAUUUAUUGAAGACUAACUAUUGCGAAAGCAUUUGCCAAGGAUGUUUUCAUUAAUCAAGAACGAAAGUUAGGGGAUCGAAGACGAUCAGAUACCGUCGUAGUCUUAACCAUAAACUAUGCCGACUAGGGAUCGGACGAUGUUAAUUUUUAAUGACUCGUUCGGCGCCUUACGGGAAA
This 503-nucleotide ribosomal RNA is filed under the name uncultured Glomeromycotina. RNAcentral's name for it is "SSU rRNA". It matches the Rfam family "Eukaryotic small subunit ribosomal RNA", at positions 591 to 1097 of the family's 1831-position model. The record is from RNAcentral. Lineage: Eukaryota; Fungi; Glomeromycota.